CGCCGGUAAGGUGAUAUGAACCGUUAUAACCGGCGAUACCCGAAUGGGGAAACCCAGUGUGACUCGUCACACUAUCAUUAACUGAAUCCAUAGGUUAAUGAGGCGAACCGGGGGAACUGAAACAUCUAAGUACCCCGAGGAAAAGAAAUCAACCGAGAUUCCCCCAGUAGCGGCGAGCGAACGGGGAGGAGCCCAGAGCCUGAAUCAGCAUGUGUGUUAGUGGAAGCGUCUGGAAAGGCGCGCGAUACAGGGUGACAGCCCCGUACACAAAAGCGCAUGUGCUGUGAGCUCGAUGAGUAGGGCGGGACACGUGGUAUCCUGUCUGAAUAUGGGGGGACCAUCCUCCAAGGCUAAAUACUCCUGACUGACCGAUAGUGAACCAGUACCGUGAGGGAAAGGCGAAAAGAACCCCGGCGAGGGGAGUGAAAAAGAACCUGAAACCGUGUACGUACAAGCAGUGGGAGCACCCUUUGGGUGUGACUGCGUACCUUUUGUAUAAUGGGUCAGCGACUUAUAUUCUGUAGCAAGGUUAACCGAAUAGGGGAGCCGGAGGGAAACCGAGUCUUAACCGGGCGUUAAGUUGCAGGGUAUAGACCCGAAACCCGGUGAUCUAGCCAUGGGCAGGUUGAAGGUUGGGUAACACUAACUGGAGGACCGAACCGACUAAUGUUGAAAAAUUAGCGGAUGACCUGUGGCUGGGGGUGAAAGGCCAAUCAAACCGGGAGAUAGCUGGUUCUCCCCGAAAGCUAUUUAGGUAGCGCCUCGUGAAUUCAUCUCCGGGGGUAGAGCACUGUUUCGGCUAGGGGGCCAUCCCGGCUUACCAACCCGAUGCAAACUGCGAAUACCGGAGAAUGUUAUCACGGGAGACACACGGCGGGUGCUAACGUCCGUCGUGAAGAGGGAAACAACCCAGACCGCCAGCUAAGGUCCCAAAGUCAUGGUUAAGUGGGAAACGAUGUGGGAAGGCCCAGACAGCCAGGAUGUUGGCUUAGAAGCAGCCAUCAUUUAAAGAAAGCGUAAUAGCUCACUGGUCGAGUCGGCCUGCGCGGAAGAUGUAACGGGGCUAAACCAUGCACCGAAGCUGCGGCAGCGACACUGUGUGUUGUUGGGUA
RNAcentral lists this ribosomal RNA (1112 nucleotides) under Salmonella enterica. RNAcentral's name for it is "partial 23S ribosomal RNA". It matches the Rfam family "Bacterial large subunit ribosomal RNA", at positions 76 to 1230 of the family's 2925-position model. The record is from RNAcentral. Lineage: Bacteria; Pseudomonadati; Pseudomonadota; Gammaproteobacteria; Enterobacterales; Enterobacteriaceae.